AAUGGGGCUCCAGGAGCUCACCAGGAUGGUUAGAAUGUCACUUAACAAGAUUUUCUCAAGAUGGCCACUCAACAUCUCCAGUGCUAACACUGACUGAAAUACUCAUAUGAAUAUGUGCAAGACUUUCACUUCUGGGAAUAAAGUUGCUGUAAGGCCUGAAGGAAACAUUUUGGUCAUCUAAUCUGACCUGCACUAUAACACAGACCACUGGGCUUCUUUGAACUGCAGCAUCUCUUUUUGAAAAAUAUCCUAUCUUGACGUAAAAAUUGCCAGUGAACCCAC
Molecule: long non-coding RNA, 282 nt
Organism: Alligator sinensis (Chinese alligator)
Lineage: Eukaryota; Metazoa; Chordata; Crocodylia; Alligatoridae
Exons: 3
Source: RefSeq, a predicted model, not a curated record